Molecule: ribosomal RNA, 769 nt
Filed under: Acinetobacter sp.
Lineage: Bacteria; Pseudomonadati; Pseudomonadota; Gammaproteobacteria; Moraxellales; Moraxellaceae
Description: bacterial SSU rRNA
Rfam family: Bacterial small subunit ribosomal RNA
Source: RNAcentral
UCGAGCGGAGAUGAGGUGCUUGCACCUUAUCUUAGCGGCGGACGGGUGAGUAAUGCUUAGGAAUCUGCCUAUUAGUGGGGGACAACAUUCCGAAAGGAAUGCUAAUACCGCAUACGCCCUACGGGGGAAAGCAGGGGAUCUUCGGACCUUGCGCUAAUAGAUGAGCCUAAGUCGGAUUAGCUAGUUGGUGGGGUAAAGGCCUACCAAGGCGACGAUCUGUAGCGGGUCUGAGAGGAUGAUCCGCCACACUGGGACUGAGACACGGCCCAGACUCCUACGGGAGGCAGCAGUGGGGAAUAUUGGACAAUGGGCGGAAGCCUGAUCCAGCCAUGCCGCGUGUGUGAAGAAGGCCUUUUGGUUGUAAAGCACUUUAAGCGAGGAGGAGGCUACUUAGAUUAAUACUCUAGGAUAGUGGACGUUACUCGCAGAAUAAGCACCGGCUAACUCUGUGCCAGCAGCCGCGGUAAUACAGAGGGUGCGAGCGUUAAUCGGAUUUACUGGGCGUAAAGCGUGCGUAGGCGGCUGAUUAAGUCGGAUGUGAAAUCCCUGAGCUUAACUUAGGAAUUGCAUUCGAUACUGGUCAGCUAGAGUAUGGGAGAGGAUGGUAGAAUUCCAGGUGUAGCGGUGAAAUGCGUAGAGAUCUGGAGGAAUACCGAUGGCGAAGGCAGCCAUCUGGCCUAAUACUGACGCUGAGGUACGAAAGCAUGGGGAGCAAACAGGAUUAGAUACCCUGGUAGUCCAUGCCGUAACGAUGUCUACUAGCCGUUGG